RNAcentral lists this ribosomal RNA (1486 nucleotides) under metagenome. Its description in RNAcentral is "bacterial SSU rRNA". It matches the Rfam family "Bacterial small subunit ribosomal RNA". The record is from RNAcentral.
AGAGUUUGAUCAUGGCUCAGGAUGAACGCUAGCUACAGGCUUAACACAUGCAAGUCGAGGGGCAGCAUGGUCUUAGCUUGCUAAGGCCGAUGGCGACCGGCGCACGGGUGAGUAACACGUAUCCAACCUGCCGUCUACUCUUGGACAGCCUUCUGAAAGGAAGAUUAAUACAAGAUGGCAUCAUGAGUCCGCAUGUUCACAUGAUUAAAGGUAUUCCGGUAGACGAUGGGGAUGCGUUCCAUUAGAUAGUAGGCGGGGUAACGGCCCACCUAGUCUUCGAUGGAUAGGGGUUCUGAGAGGAAGGUCCCCCACAUUGGAACUGAGACACGGUCCAAACUCCUACGGGAGGCAGCAGUGAGGAAUAUUGGUCAAUGGGCGAGAGCCUGAACCAGCCAAGUAGCGUGAAGGAUGACUGCCCUAUGGGUUGUAAACUUCUUUUAUAAAGGAAUAAAGUCGGGUAUGCAUACCCGUUUGCAUGUACUUUAUGAAUAAGGAUCGGCUAACUCCGUGCCAGCAGCCGCGGUAAUACGGAGGAUCCGAGCGUUAUCCGGAUUUAUUGGGUUUAAAGGGAGCGUAGAUGGAUGUUUAAGUCAGUUGUGAAAGUUUGCGGCUCAACCGUAAAAUUGCAGUUGAUACUGGAUAUCUUGAGUGCAGUUGAGGCAGGCGGAAUUCGUGGUGUAGCGGUGAAAUGCUUAGAUACCACGAAGAACUCCGAUUGCGAAGGCAGCCUGCUAAGCUGCAACUGACAUUGAGGCUCGAAAGUGUGGGUAUCAAACAGGAUUAGAUACCCUGGUAGUCCACACGGUAAACGAUGAAUACUCGCUGUUUGCGAUAUACAGCAAGCGGCCAAGCGAAAGCGUUAAGUAUUCCACCUGGGGAGUACGCCGGCAACGGUGAAACUCAAAGGAAUUGACGGGGGCCCGCACAAGCGGAGGAACAUGUGGUUUAAUUCGAUGAUACGCGAGGAACCUUACCCGGGCUUAAAUUGCAGAUGAAUUACGGUGAAAGCCGUAAGCCGCAAGGCAUCUGUGAAGGUGCUGCAUGGUUGUCGUCAGCUCGUGCCGUGAGGUGUCGGCUUAAGUGCCAUAACGAGCGCAACCCUUGUUGUCAGUUACUAACAGGUUCCGCUGAGGACUCUGACAAGACUGCCAUCGUAAGAUGUGAGGAAGGUGGGGAUGACGUCAAAUCAGCACGGCCCUUACGUCCGGGGCUACACACGUGUUACAAUGGGGGGUACAGAGGGCCGCUACCACGCUAGUGGAUGCCAAUCCCAAAAACCUCUCUCAGUUCGGACUGGAGUCUGCAACCCGACUCCACGAAGCUGGAUUCGCUAGUAAUCGCGCAUCAGCCACGGCGCGGUGAAUACGUUCCCGGGCCUUGUACACACCGCCCGUCAAGCCAUGGGAGCCGGGGGUACCUGAAGUGCGUAACCGCGAGGAGCGCCCUAGGGUAAAACUGGUGACUGGGGCUAAGUCGUAACAAGGUA